Molecule: long non-coding RNA, 551 nt
Organism: Bos taurus (domestic cattle)
Lineage: Eukaryota; Metazoa; Chordata; Mammalia; Artiodactyla; Bovidae
Source: Ensembl
GAACCCAAGCGGCAGCUGCAGACUAAGGCCCCGCGACGGGCCAGCGGUCCCGGGAGUUCUCCUGGUUCAAGGAAACCCGGCAACAACUUGGCAAGACGCGGCCCGGAGGGGAGCGCGGGCCACGUGGGCGCGGGGGGCCGGACGCGCCCGCAGUCACGUGCCCUCUUGGAGUAGCGUCUCCGGUGUCGGUCGGGCUCGGGGCCCCGAGGACCCCGCGCGGCCCGUCCCGGCGGGAAGAUCCCAUCGCUAUGCGCUCUCAGCUUGACCUUGGAGGGUCUGGAAGUGUCCCAGCACCAUGCAGCCUGUCGUGCAGCGUCUCUGGCUGCCUCGUACAGGGGCUCAGCGCUGAAACAUGUACAAACGACUCUAACUGGGACUCACCCUGGAGCACUUCAGGCUGUAUCAAGCCAAACCCAGGACACUGGCAUCUGGCGGCUGACGGGGCUUUCGAAGGCUCAUUAUUCUUUGGGGUUCCUCACCUCGUGUCCCAGGAGCCUCUGGACAAGUGAGGGAGGGGCUCGGGGUCUGUCCUGGCCCAGGCUCUGAGGGUC